CCUACGGGAGGCAGCAGUGAGGAAUAUUGGUCAAUGGACGAGAGUCUGAACCAGCCACGUCGCGUGAAGGAUGACUGCCCUCUGGGUUGUAAGCUUCUUUUAUAAAGGAAUAAAACGCGGCACGUGUGCCUUUUUGCAUGUACUUUAUGAAUAAGGAUCGGCUAACUCCGUGCCAGCAGCCGCGGUAAUACGGAGGAUCCGAGCGUGAUCCGGAUUUAUUGGGUUUAAAGGGAGCGUAGAUGGGUUGUUAAGUCAGUUGUGAAAGUUUGCGGCUCAACCGUAAAAUUGCAAUUGAUACUGGCAGUCGUGAGUACAGUGGAGGUAAGCGGAAUGCGUGGUGUAGCGGUGAAAUGCUGAGAUAUCACGAAGAACCCCGAUUGCGAAGGCAGCUUACUAAACUGUGACUGACAUUGAUGCUCGAAAGUGUGGGUAUCAAACAGGAUUAGAUACCCCUGUAGUC
RNAcentral lists this ribosomal RNA (460 nucleotides) under uncultured bacterium. RNAcentral's name for it is "partial 16S ribosomal RNA". It matches the Rfam family "Bacterial small subunit ribosomal RNA", at positions 338 to 795 of the family's 1533-position model. The record is from RNAcentral.